This 428-nucleotide ribosomal RNA is filed under the name uncultured prokaryote. RNAcentral describes it as "bacterial SSU rRNA". It matches the Rfam family "Bacterial small subunit ribosomal RNA", at positions 355 to 774 of the family's 1533-position model. The record is from RNAcentral.
UGAGGAAUUUUGCGCAAUGGCCGCAAGGCUGACGCAGCAACGCCGCGUGGGUGAAGAAGGCCUUCGGGUCGUAAAGCCCUGUCAGGUGGGAAGAAUGACCUGGGGUUGAAUAGAUCUCAGGAGUGACGGUACCACCAGAGGAAGCACCGGCUAACUCCGUGCCAGCAGCCGCGGUAAUACGGAGGGUGCAAGCGUUAUUCGGAAUUACUGGGCGUAAAGCGCGUGCAGGCGGGUAGGCAAGUCUGAUGUGAAAGCCCUGGGCUUAACCUGGGAAGUGCAUUGGAAACUGCCUAUCUUGAGUGCUGGAGAGGAAGGGGGAAUUCCCGGUGUAGAGGUGAAAUUCGUAGAGAUCGGGAGGAAUACCAGUGGCGAAGGCGCCCUUCUGGACGGCAACUGACGCUGAGACGCGAAAGCGUGGGGAGCAAACA